UAAAGAGUCCCUGUUCCCUUGAUGGGAUACAAGCUUUCCAGAUUGCUUAAACUCACUUUCUGCCUCACGUCAACAGCGCUCGGUCUAGGAUACAGUGGCUUUCUUCCUAGUAAAAGCAGCAGGGACUACGAAACAGACAGAGGAACACAAAGAACUCGAUCUUCCAUCUGCUGGCUUAUGCCCCCAACCCAAAUGGCCAUACCAGUGAGAACAGAGUGCAGUUGAAAGCAGGAAGCUGGAACCAGAGGCUCUGUGAGUGUGCGUCUGCUUGAGAACAGGGACCAUCAGGAGCUGUGUAA
Long non-coding RNA from Ochotona princeps (American pika), 299 nucleotides. RefSeq lists it as uncharacterized. The transcript has 2 exons. Lineage: Eukaryota; Metazoa; Chordata; Mammalia; Lagomorpha; Ochotonidae. The record is from RefSeq and is a predicted model, not a curated record.